ACAGCAAAGCGAAAAGGUCUC
RNAcentral lists this microRNA (21 nucleotides) under Spodoptera frugiperda (fall armyworm). RNAcentral's name for it is "sfr-miR-316-3p". Its record names the gene sfr-miR-316-3p. The record is from miRBase by way of RNAcentral. Lineage: Eukaryota; Metazoa; Arthropoda; Insecta; Lepidoptera; Noctuidae.